This is a non-coding RNA of Trichobilharzia regenti, 49 nucleotides long. NCBI's taxonomy places the organism in Eukaryota, Metazoa, Platyhelminthes, Trematoda, Strigeidida, Schistosomatidae. The record is from Rfam.
AGCUAGUUGACGAGUCCCAAAUAGGACAAAAUGCGUAUCCUCGCUGGAU